RNAcentral lists this long non-coding RNA (1714 nucleotides) under Rattus norvegicus (Norway rat). RNAcentral describes it as "long non-coding RNA NONRATT001746". Lineage: Eukaryota; Metazoa; Chordata; Mammalia; Rodentia; Muridae. The record is from RNAcentral.
GGACCUUUUUUUUUUUUCUCUCCCAUGAGGCUGAUCUGGGUCAUUAGAGCCAGACCUUCCUAGGGUGUCUGGGGUGGGGGUGGGGGACCCAGCUUGGACAAACCCUCUUUCCUGCCUCCUUCCUCACUCUCAGGAGGGUCUGGAGAAUUCACACCCUGCAUGAGUCUUCACCCUCAAAGCCUACCUGGACUGUGCUCCCUGGGGCUCUUUCUAAGGCCCAACGAUACCAUGGGCUCCUGCUUGUCAAUGGUCCCAUCUCCUCAUUGGAGAUUUGGGGAGACAGGUGUCCUGGGAGCUAUUCAGCCGCUCCAAAGGCAGUGGCUUUCCUGUCCUUCCCUCAGGGCCGAAAGUUCCCUCAGCCUUGCCAAGAAGCACCCAAUUCUGAGACUUUGCACCCCACCAGGAACUGCUUAUAGGGGUUCAGCCUAGGACUCUGAUGGGGUCCACUGGGGUAUGGUAAAACUCUUUGGAUGAAUGAGCUGGACAGAGCUUGAACUCCUGAACUGGAGCCAAUUCCUGAUCGUGUGCAUACAUGUGGAGUGCGCUGUGUGCACAAAUGUAUGUAUGUACGUAUGUAUGUUUAUGGGUGGGUAAGCAUGUACAUAUGUGAGCAUACAUGUGUAUGAAUGUGAGUACCUGUACAGGUGUAUGUGUGCAUGUGCACACGUGUAUGAACCUAUGUUUAUCUGAGUGAAUGAGGGAGAAUGUUAGGUGCAUGUGUACAACACAUGCAUGCAAACUAUGUAUGCUUACGCACAAGUGCACUGUGUGAAUAUGCAUGUCUAUGUGUAAGCAUGCGUGUGUGUGUGUGUGUGUGUGUGUGUGUGUGUGUGUGUGUGUUUAAAAAGAGAGAGAUUCCAUUGUGUGUUCUCUUUGGCUGCUGGGCUAAUGACUACCAAGUCCUGCCCUGUCCUGUCCCACACUGGUCUGUAGAGCCUCCCUGUGAGUCCCUCCUGACUGACCCUCUCUGUAAAUCAAUGUCCUAAAGCUGGGCUGUCAGCUUGGCUCUUCCUCCUGGCCUUUCUCCCACCUCUGGCUCUACUGUACACAUUUUAAUGGAGGAACAGUUGAGGUCCUAGGAGAACAGAGCCAACAUUUAGGUGGUCUUUGGUGCCCCUCUUCCAGCCCCCAUGGCACAGUGGGGCCACAGAUGCUGCAUAUUUAGCCUGCCCAGGUGUCAGGACCCUGAAGCCCUUGCAGAUGAGGCUUCCCUGGACAUUCAAGGCAAAUGUGCCUUGCAAGGAAAAGCUAAUGGUGCUGUGGCUCUCGAGGGGAGCCAGUAGAAGGGCAGGCAUCCUGGGGCCUGAAGAUGGACAGAAAGGGGCUGCCUACCUCAGCGGGCAGGAGGUGCUAGAACUAGACAGGAAACACCAGCCACCAUAAGCAGCUUUCUGGAGCGGAAAGGGCCUGUUUCUCUAGAGGCCAACGUCUGCACAUGUGACAGCAGGAGACCAUGCUGAGAGAUAGAGAGGGCCGGCCAAGCCCCUGAAGCCUCAGGGAGCCUGAGCCCUUUGAGCCCUGGUGCCAUGAAUCCCUUCUUUCCGAGCUGCAGCCCCCGAUUCCUUGCAGAAGCCUGUGCCCUCUGUAGCCUGCUGUGUGGCCAGGCAUCGUGUCUGACUUUGCACAGCCUGUUGGGGAAGGUUGGGAAGAGGCAAGAUGAAGACCUUUUGUUUUAUUCUUUUCCCAAUAAAAGGACUUGCCAGCUUGAGGCUCC